CGAUUUCUGGUGCAGGAGAGGAUCGCCAGAGAGAGAGAGAGAGAAAUCAGAGAAUGAACAGACAGAAUAAACAAACAGAACAGAACAAAACAUCAUCAUCACACUCGGACAGGUUUUUUCCAUCACGUUUCGGACAAGUCUCAGCUGUUCUGAUUUCUCCAUACUGCAGGGAACACUGCCGGUUGGAUGAAGUCCAUAUUGAAGCUUAAGUGUUAUCAGACAAGAUCAUCUCCGAUCACUGUUCCAUUCUGACGGCAUCUGGAGACCCUCCCAGGAAUUUUGGUAAACCAUUACCAGCCAUCAACCAUCUCUGUGCCUGUCCCUCAUCACACCUGAAGUCACAUCCCUCUGACUGCCCUACCAUCGCCAUUGCCUUCGCCAUCCCUAUUACUGCCCUAACAUCGCCUGCUGUGAUUCCCUGCCCGAAUCUUUGGCCCUCGGAUCCCAGCGACCCAUCACCUUCCGAAAUAACUAAUGGAUUACUAAUGGACAAUUUAUUCCCUACACUGGACUAUUUGAACUUUCAUUGUCAUUGUAACUUUCAAACUACAAAUGACUGUACUUUAACUGACCCAAGGCAGAUGGGUUGGGCCCUUGAGUCGUGGGUCUGUCUGAGGUUUUUUCCUAUAUGUAUCUCCAAUUCUAGGGAGUUUUUCCUUGCCCCUGUUACUCAUGGGCUCUCUUUGAAUGUCUAACACUCUGUAAAGCGCCUUGAGACAUGUGUAAUGUAUUGGCGCUCUAUA
This is a long non-coding RNA of Sardina pilchardus (European sardine), 743 nucleotides long. RefSeq lists it as uncharacterized. The record is from RefSeq and is a predicted model, not a curated record. Lineage: Eukaryota; Metazoa; Chordata; Actinopteri; Clupeiformes; Clupeidae. The transcript is spliced from 3 exons.